This 510-nucleotide ribosomal RNA is filed under the name uncultured bacterium. RNAcentral's name for it is "bacterial SSU rRNA". It matches the Rfam family "Bacterial small subunit ribosomal RNA", at positions 15 to 518 of the family's 1533-position model. The record is from RNAcentral.
GAUCCUGGCUCAGGAUGAACGCUAGCGACAGGCUUAACACAUGCAAGUCGAGGGGCAGCAUAAAAGUAGCAAUACUUGGUGGCGACCGGCGCACGGGUGAGUAACGCGUAUGCAACCUACCUAUCAGAGGGGAAUAACCCGGCGAAAGUCGGACUAAUACCGCAUAAAACAGGGACACCGCAUGGUGAUAUUUGUUAAAGAAAUUCGCUGAUAGAUGGGCAUGCGUUCCAUUAGGUAGUUGGUGAGGUAACGGCUCACCAAGCCGACGAUGGAUAGGGGAACUGAGAGGUUGGUCCCCACACUGGUACUGAGACACGGACCAGACUCCUACGGGAGGCAGCAGUGAGGAAUAUUGGUCAAUGGGCGAGAGCCUGAACCAGCCAAGUCGCGUGAAGGAAAGAAGGAUCUAUGGUUCGUAAACUUCUUUUGCAGGGGAAUAAAGUGCAGGACGUGUCCUGUUUUGUAUGUACCCUGAGAAUAAGGAUCGGCUAACUCCGUGCCAGCAGCAGC